Molecule: ribosomal RNA, 619 nt
Filed under: Burkholderia vietnamiensis
Lineage: Bacteria; Pseudomonadati; Pseudomonadota; Betaproteobacteria; Burkholderiales; Burkholderiaceae
Description: bacterial SSU rRNA
Rfam family: Bacterial small subunit ribosomal RNA
Source: RNAcentral
GGGUGAGUAAUACAUCGGAACAUGUCCUGUAGUGGGGGAUAGCCCGGCGAAAGCCGGAUUAAUACCGCAUACGAUCUAUGGAUGAAAGCGGGGGACCUUCGGGCCUCGCGCUAUAGGGUUGGCCGAUGGCUGAUUAGCUAGUUGGUGGGGUAAAGGCCUACCAAGGCGACGAUCAGUAGCUGGUCUGAGAGGACGACCAGCCACACUGGGACUGAGACACGGCCCAGACUCCUACGGGAGGCAGCAGUGGGGAAUUUUGGACAAUGGGCGAAAGCCUGAUCCAGCAAUGCCGCGUGUGUGAAGAAGGCCUUCGGGUUGUAAAGCACUUUUGUCCGGAAAGAAAUCCUUGGCUCUAAUACAGUCGGGGGAUGACGGUACCGGAAGAAUAAGCACCGGCUAACUACGUGCCAGCAGCCGCGGUAAUACGUAGGGUGCAAGCGUUAAUCGGAAUUACUGGGCGUAAAGCGUGCGCAGGCGGUUUGCUAAGACCGAUGUGAAAUCCCCGGGCUCAACCUGGGAACUGCAUUGGUGACUGGCAGGCUAGAGUAUGGCAGAGGGGGGUAGAAUUCCACGUGUAGCAGUGAAAUGCGUAGAGAUGUGGAGGAAUACCGAUGGCGAA